GCGCUUCUAGCUCAAUUGGCAGAGCAGCGGACUCUUAAUCCGCGGGUUCUGGGUUCAAGUCCCAGGGGGCGCA
Molecule: transfer RNA, 73 nt
Filed under: Quadrisphaera granulorum
Lineage: Bacteria; Bacillati; Actinomycetota; Actinomycetes; Kineosporiales; Kineosporiaceae
Also listed under: 5 other names
Rfam family: tRNA
About the family: Transfer RNA (tRNA) molecules are approximately 80 nucleotides in length.
Source: Rfam by way of RNAcentral